UAGAGCUCUAUAAUUCAAUUUUUACUAGUAACAAUUAUGAUUGUAGAGCUCUCUAAUUGAAUUAUAGAGCUCUGCAAUUGUAUUCUUACUAGUAACAACUGAAUUAAAGAGCUCUAUAAUUCAAUUUUUACUAGUAACAAUUCCAAUUAGAGAGCUCUACAAUUCAUUUAUUACUAGUAAGAAUACAAUUGCAGAGCUCUGUAAUUCAGUUGUUACUAGUAAUAAUCCAAUUGCAGAGCUCUGCAAUUCCACUAGAGAGCUCUCUAAUUCAAUUGUUACUAGUAAAAACUGAAUUAUAGAGCUCUCUAAUUGUAAUUGUUACUAGUAAAAACUGAAUUAGAGAGCUCUUUAAUUCAAUUCUUACUAGUAACAAUUCCAAUUACAGAGCUCUAUAAUUGUAUUAUUACUAGUAGAAACUCCUAUUCAUGAGAUGCAAAACAGAUUGCAGAUAUCCCGCCUACAACAGUGCGUUUCAAAAUAAAAGCCCUGUAGCGUGGUUCUAAAGUAUCCUGAAAUAUUUUACAGACUUAGGUAACAUUAAUCAUGUUCACAUUAAAGCAAAAUUAAGAUGAUGCCUGAGAUGAAUAUUUACAGUGUUUAGAAUUGAUAUGCAAUAAUAGAAUGAUUGUGUUUGUUGUUUAGUAAAAUAGAAAACAUUAGGCCAAAUAGUCUUAAACUUUUUUAUAAAUUGUGACUCGGGGUUAAAUCUAGCCUAAAGUUUUUUUCAAUUUUUUUUUUUUUUCUUCUUCUUUUUUUCUCCAGGUUGCAAUAUUGUUUUAUAUUUUGCCUUCAAAUAAGCUUAUGCCUGUUGUGGUUGCAUGUGUUUGUUGUUAAGUAAAAUGAACAAGAGAA
Long non-coding RNA from Carassius gibelio (silver crucian carp), 852 nucleotides. RefSeq lists it as uncharacterized. Lineage: Eukaryota; Metazoa; Chordata; Actinopteri; Cypriniformes; Cyprinidae. The transcript has 2 exons. The record is from RefSeq and is a predicted model, not a curated record.